RNAcentral lists this microRNA (21 nucleotides) under Canis lupus familiaris (dog). RNAcentral's name for it is "Cfa-Mir-615_3p (mature (guide))". The record is from RNAcentral. Lineage: Eukaryota; Metazoa; Chordata; Mammalia; Carnivora; Canidae.
UCCGAGCCCGGGUCUCCCUCU